GAUGUAUCUCUAUUCUUCUUCUUCUUAUUUUUAUGAUUUAAAUGAAUUAAUUUCUUUGCAUAAAAGAAUGGACUUGAAAGUAAAAAAGUUUCGAAUUGUUUUCUUGUAGAUGCACCAAUGCAUA
This 124-nucleotide non-coding RNA is filed under the name Pteridomonas danica. The record is from RNAcentral. Lineage: Eukaryota; Dictyochophyceae; Pedinellales.